Molecule: ribosomal RNA, 378 nt
Filed under: uncultured organism
Description: partial 16S ribosomal RNA
Rfam family: Bacterial small subunit ribosomal RNA
Source: RNAcentral
GUAGGUGGCAAGCGUUGUCCGGAAUUAUUGGGCGUAAAGCGCGCGCAGGCGGUUCUUUAAGUCUGAUGUGAAAGCCCACGGCUCAACCGUGGAGGGUCAUUGGAAACUGGAGAACUUGAGUACAGAAGAGGAAAGCGGAAUUCCACGUGUAGCGGUGAAAUGCGUAGAGAUGUGGAGGAACACCAGUGGCGAAGGCGGCUUUCUGGUCUGUAACUGACGCUGAGGCGCGAAAGCGUGGGGAGCAAACAGGGAUUAGAUACCCUGGUAGUCCACGCCGUAAACGAUGAGUGCUAAGUGUUAGGGGGGGUUUUCCGGCCCCCCUUAGUGCUGCAGCUAACGCAUUAAGCACUCCGCCUGGGGAGUACGGCCGCAAGGCUG